CCUACGGGGGGCAGCAGUGAGGAAUAUUGGUCAAUGGGCGCGAGCCUGAACCAGCCAAGUAGCGUGAAGGAUGACGGCCCUACGGGUUGUAAACUGCUUUUAUGAAGGAAUAAAGUGAGGCACGUGUGCCUUUUUGCAUGUACUUUAUGAAUAAGGAUCGGCUAACUCCGUGCCAGCAGCCGCGGUAAUACGGAGGAUCCGAGCGUUAUCCGGAUUUAUUGGGUUUAAAGGGAGCGUAGGUGGGUUGUUAAGUCAGUUGUGAAAGUCUGCGGCUCAACCGUAAAAUUGCAAUUGAUACUGGCAGUCUUGAGUACAGCUGAGGUAGGCGGAAUUCGUGGUGUAGCGGUGAAAUGCUUAGAUAUCACGAAGAACUCCGAUUGCGAAGGCAGCUUACUGAACUGUCACUGACAUUGAUGCUCGAAAGUGUGGGUAUCAAACAGGAUUAGAUACCCUGGUAGUC
Molecule: ribosomal RNA, 460 nt
Filed under: uncultured bacterium
Lineage: Bacteria
Description: partial 16S ribosomal RNA
Rfam family: Bacterial small subunit ribosomal RNA
Source: RNAcentral